AUAUCAGUCAUGCAUAGCAUAUCAAUAAGCGGAGGAAAAGAAACUAACAAGGAUUCCCUUAGUAACGGCGAGUGAAGCGGGAAGAGCUCAAAUUUGAAAUCUUCAAGGUUCUACCUUGACGAAUUGUAGUUUAUAGGAGUGUUUUCUGUUAGGUAGAGUGGCAAAAGUUCUUUGGAAUAGGACAUCAUAGAGGGUGAGAAUCCCGUAUUUGGUCAUUCCUCCUAGCUUUGUGAUACACUUUCAACGAGUCGGAUUGUUUGGGAAUGCAGUCCAAAAUGGGUGGUAAAUUUCAUCUAAAGCUAAAUAUUGGCGAGAGACCGAUAGCGAACAAGUACCGUGAGGGAAAGAUGAAAAGAACUUUGAAAAGAGAGUUAAACAGUACGUGAAAUUGUCAAAAGGGAAGCGUUUGACACCAGUGUUGUUUUCUCGAAAAUCAAUUACAAAUGGGGAUUUUGUGUUUAGUUAUGACUUCAUCAGCUUUCUGCACUUUCUUUACGUACUUUCUUAAUGCACUUUUCGUUUAACAAGUCAACAUCAAUUUCUUUUGUUGUAAAAGGGUAUGAGGAAGGUGGCUUUCUUUUCGGAGAAAGUGUUUAUAGCCUUGGACCUCUGCAAUCGGAGAGAUUGAGGUACAUGCAGCGUAGACUCCUUCGGGGUUAGAUACACUUGUGCUAAGUUAUAGCUUGUCAUAGACAACUUGUUGACUAUGUUAAGUCAUUGUAGCUUACUCGCUUAGUGCUAUUUUACCUACGCUUAGGAUGUUGAUCUCUCACAGUCGAGC
This 781-nucleotide ribosomal RNA is filed under the name uncultured Neocallimastigales. RNAcentral describes it as "partial large subunit ribosomal RNA". It matches the Rfam family "Eukaryotic large subunit ribosomal RNA", at positions 22 to 645 of the family's 3401-position model. Lineage: Eukaryota; Fungi; Neocallimastigomycota; Neocallimastigomycetes; Neocallimastigales. The record is from RNAcentral.